AAAACAAUUCCAAGGUUGCGAAAGGGAAAAUGGCGGACGGAAGUGGAGGAAAUUCGGAGCAGAUCGGAGCAACACCGACCGGAUCGGCGGUGGCCAUGGCUGUCGACCGACUGGCAGCCUCUGGACCGUGGGGCGCGAGGGAGAUAUCGGCGGCUGGAAAUCAGUCGCCGCUGACCGUGGGGGCGGCGGCACCGGCCGUGGACCGACCGGCGGUGGCGGCAGCGGUUGUGGAUCGUCCGGCAGCGGCUGCAGGACCAAGGAAGGGAGGAGGCGCAGCCUUGUUUGAUGGAGGCGCAGAAUUAGGUAUAGGGUUCACACCAAACCCCCUAACUUCUUCAUAUUCUUAUAAAAGACCCCAUGUUUUGCCCUUAGGUCCCUCGAAUUUUCGAAAUUUGAAAAUACCACCCCUGAACUAUUCUGAAUUUCAGAAAGAACCCCAUCUUAUGAAAACUAACUCCCUAGUUUUUCAUAAAUUAAAAAAACACCCCAAACCUUUGUGUGAUACCUCAAAAUAUCAGCCUUUUAUGUAGAAAAUCCCUAAAAUCUUCCGCUACAUAUCAAAACUCAUCUGAUAAUAGGGAUAGGGAUAAAAGGUGGAUUUUUAUUGUGGAGCCACUGAUACGAUGACUUUUGAUAAAACUGAUAUCAUUAAGCCAUCAGCACCAUACCGAACACAUGUUCAAACUGCAAAUGGUGACUUAACCCGUGUUGAAGGGGCUGGAACCAUAGAAAUCUCUCCUACUAUGCACCUCUCAAACUGUCUUUAUGUCCCUUCUCUAUCUCAUAAACUCUUGUCUAUUAGCCAUGUUACAGAAGAACUAAAUUGUACCAUGCUAAUGAAUCCUCAAUUCUGUCUUCUUCAGGAUAUCAGGACGGGGGAGAUUAUUGGACGUGGCACUGAGCGAGAUGGGUUAUACUAUGUGGAUGAGAUAGCUCAACAAGGCGAGGUGAUGCUCGCUCACGGAACUGCUAACCGGGAAGCUUGGCUUUGGCAUCGUCGGUUAGGGCAUCCUUCCACAAGUUAUCUUAAGAUAUUAUUUCCUGAAUUAAUAAAAGGGGGAACUCUGUCUUGUGAAACUUGUAUUUUGGCUAAAAGCUACAGACACUCUUUUAAACCUAAUAAUACUGUAGUUGAGUCUAUUUUCUCUUUAAUUCAUUCUGAUGUUUGGGGACCUUCACCUAUUGCCGGGGGUUCAGGUUUUAAAUAUUUUUUGCUUUUCAUUGAUGAUUGCACAAGGAUGACAUGGGUUUAUUUCCUCAAACACAAAUCUGAAGUUUUUGAAAAGUUUACCCAUUUUUCCACCAUGAUUCAAACUCAAUUUGAGAAAAACAUUCAGACUCUUAGAACCGAUAAUGGGGGGGAAUUUGUCAAUAGAUCCAUGCAGGAAUUUUGUCAACAAAAGGGGAUAAUCCAUCAAACUACCUGUCCCCAUACCCCUGAACAAAAUGGUGUGGCAGAAAGAAAAAAUAGAAUUCUCCUUGAAAUGACCCGAGCUAUGAUGAUUGAAUCUAAAGUACCCACACACUUCUGGCCUGAAGCUGUUGCUACCUCUGUCUAUCUUAUAAACCGUCUUCCCACUAGAACUCUCCAGUUACAAACUCCUUUAGAAAAACUCUCCACCUUGGCAUCUGUCCCUCUUGCUCUUACUCUCCAACCUAGGGUUUUUGGGUGCUCCGUUUUUGUCCAUAUCCCCAAACAUGAAAGAACUAAACUUUCCCCUUGUGCCAUUAAAUGUGUCUUUGUAGGUUAUGGUAUUAAUCAGAAAGGGUAUAGGUGUUACAAUCCCAAAACUCGUCAAGUCUUAACCACCACGAAUUGUGAUUUUCUCGAAACUGAGUUCUUUUAUGAAAACCAACUUAACAGUCAGGGGGAGAGAGAGCAAGAAAGUAAAAUAGACUUGUUAAGCUGGUUACCAAUGCCAAGUACGGAAGCAGGACCAACAGAAACAGUUAACCUUGCCACCGAGCAGAUCUCAUGCACUACAGAUCCCAUAUCUCCUCCAUCCCAUGAUUCUAUAUCUCCUCCACCAUUGAUAUCCGAG
This 2042-nucleotide long non-coding RNA is filed under the name Salvia miltiorrhiza (redroot sage). RNAcentral describes it as "long non-coding RNA (SMIL_LNC007048)". The record is from RNAcentral. Lineage: Eukaryota; Viridiplantae; Streptophyta; Magnoliopsida; Lamiales; Lamiaceae.